This 274-nucleotide ribosomal RNA is filed under the name uncultured bacterium. Its description in RNAcentral is "partial 16S ribosomal RNA". It matches the Rfam family "Bacterial small subunit ribosomal RNA", at positions 523 to 796 of the family's 1533-position model. The record is from RNAcentral.
AUACAGAGGGUGCGAGCGUUAAUCGGAAUUACUGGGCGUAAAGCGCGCGUAGGCGGUCUAUUAAGUCAGAUGUGAAAUCCCAGGGCUCAACCUUGGAACUGCAUCUGAUACUGGUAGACUAGAGUUUUGGAGAGGGAAGUAGAAUUUCAGGUGUAGCGGUGAAAUGCAUAGAGAUCCGAAGGAAUACCAGUGGCGAAGGCGACUUCCUGGCCAAAAACUGACGCUGAGGUGCGAAAGCGUGGGUAGCAAACGGGAUUAGAAACCCUAGUAGUCC